RNAcentral lists this long non-coding RNA (424 nucleotides) under Nicotiana benthamiana. RNAcentral describes it as "long non-coding RNA (NBEN_LNC031669)". The record is from RNAcentral. Lineage: Eukaryota; Viridiplantae; Streptophyta; Magnoliopsida; Solanales; Solanaceae.
AUUUUCAUUCACUAUCUUUAAUUUUGUCCCAACCAGCUACCUGAAAAUGGUAGAAUUCCUCGAUCAGCUUGUGCCAAGAAAUAUGAAAUUAGGGAUUCCCAGGGAGUAGUUUGGAUAUGGAUGUCUCAAAGAACACUGCCUAAUAUUAACAAAAUCCCCUGGUUUGAAAACUUUGAAAGGGAAGGAUUUCGAGACAUUUCUACGACUCAUGACACCUAAUAUUAGCAAAAUCCCCUGGUUUGAAAACUUUGAAAGGAAAGGAUUUCGAGACAUUUCUACAACUCAUGAGCUCCCUUAUGACCACUCUAUUCUUCUGGAAAACCUCAUGGACCCAGCUCAUGUCCCGAUAUCACACGAUAGGACAGAUUUUACAGCAAAAAGGGAAGAUGCUGGACCACUGUUUUUCGAGGUAACAGAAAGGACU